Molecule: long non-coding RNA, 2271 nt
Organism: Achroia grisella
Lineage: Eukaryota; Metazoa; Arthropoda; Insecta; Lepidoptera; Pyralidae
Exons: 4
Source: RefSeq, a predicted model, not a curated record
UAGUGAGGAAAUCUAACAAAACAUAAAUUCAAUGGUUAGUUACGGACCAUGAGAAACUAACUGCAGACUACGUACAUUCAUAUUCAAACAAAGUUAAAUCAAUUUGCGAACAUUCAGUAUAUCAAUCGAUACCAAUGACUCCAUCUAUGCUAUGUUCGUUCCAAGCAAGAAUCCGCAGUAGGAGAUGGUAAACUGUGAAAUCGAAGCUGCGAUCAUCGGAAGUUAGACGAUGUACUAAAUUGCUAGACCACCGAAGUCAUCAAAUGAAAGAUAUAAAUAACGUUGGUUGCUAAUUUGUUAGAUCAACGCAAUCAAAUCAUCAAAACUCGCCGUUUCGGAUGCAACAUUUCCUCAUUCCCUCGGAAUCAGCCUGGAGCGACACACGCUCAUAAUCAAUUAACAUGUAUGAAAUAUAAAACAAGCUCAUUGUUAAAUGUUUAUUCAAACAUAAACACAUCUAUGUGCUCUAUGUGUCUCUAUGUGUGAUCAUUUGCUUAUGUGACGGCCUUAACAUGGCACGGAAUUUGAUCAUUUUGGUAAUCUCAAUUAUGGUUUUCGCAAGCGGAGUCACUGGGUAUGUACUACCUGCUAUCGCUGUUGCAAAUACAGAAAUCUCAACACAAGACGUAUCAACAUCAACUCCCCUGAAUGACAUCUCAACAGAAAAAGAAUCAAAAAUAUCGGACGAUUAUAGAAAAUAUAGUUAUAUAAUUACGACAUAUUUAUAAUUAAAAUUAUAUUAUAGUUAUCUACUCCAAAAUUUAAAAAUAAACGUAAAUUAUGUGACGAAAUAGGUAUUAAGUACCAUUAAUGACAAACAGUGAUAUUUGAAAUACUUGCAAUUACCCGCGGCUUCGUCUGUAUAAACUUUUAUCCUCUAUUUAACUCGUUUUAAAUUAUUUUUAAUUUGAUUAAAGUUAAUCUAUGUCCAUCGUCGUUAUACAACCAAACUUUAUGUCAAAUUUCAAUAAGAUUCGUUCAGCUGCAAAAUCCUGAAAAAGUACCUAACAAACAGACAGUCAUAUUCACAUUUAUAAUAUUAGUAUAUAUUAAUAUUAGGACAUAUACUACAGUAUUUCAUCAUAAUUAUAUUAUUGACAAAAAUAAACUUAAUUUGCAUUUAUUAUAAAGUGUUAUUGUGAUAUAUUAAAUAUAAAAUCAUGUGUAAGUGUUUAUAAUUUAAUGCAGGCAACUGUACAAACACAUAUUAUGCAGUGAUAUACUAUCAUAUCAUCCCGACGUCCUGUUUCACCAAUAUAAUAUAAUAGUCUUCUCAAAUAGUGACUUAAAAUGGUGUUUUUGUAAAUACAGUUCAUUUCGUAGUAGUCAUAAUUCCCUCUACAUACUAUCAAACAUAAACUCACAAAACUCACACCUUUCUUUUUAAUGUAAAUAUAGACUUUGACCCAUAUUUAUUGGGGAAAAUACAAUUUUUAAUAGUUAUAUCUCUAAGUAACAUUUUCUAUCGUGUGCGUAUAUAUGUGUGUAGUAUGUAUGACUCGUGUAAAUAAAGUUAUUUCCAUGGCGGACAGAUCUUAUAUACAUAAGUAAGCAAAUAGUCAAUUGCUGAGGCCACGAGUACCUAAGUAUAGGGUCAUAACACGUGUGUUAGGACCCUAUACUUAGGUACAGGUAUGUAAAGAUAUAUUAUAGAGUCAUUAAUAUUUUAUUAUAGAUGUUCUAUGGCCAUAAUAUUAAGAGUUCCUGGUCACAUAGGUCGCUUCCGCUGUCUGUUAACUUAGAUCUUUUAAACUACACAAAGGAUUUUAAUGCAGUUUUUAGGAAACAACAAACAGACCGACAGACAUAUAUUUGAAUUUAUAACAUUCAAUAUGGAUUUACCUCAUCAUAUGUAUAGGUAUUAUUUAACUUACACUGAUACAAAGUAUUUUAUUAAUAGCAUAAUUGAACAUUGAUUACAAAUAACUAUUUAUAUUUCGAAAUAUGUACAUUGAAUAGAUUAAACCUGUUUUAUUAUCGGUUCUAAUUAAGUUGUAUUAAGAAUAAUGUUAUACCAAGUAUUUUAAUCGAAAGGUAUAAUUUGUGGUAAGUAUUGUGAUAUCACUGGCUUCAUGUGAACUCUAUAUCUGUAUGUUUAAUUCAUGUUUGACCACAAGUAUGAAACGGUUUUAAUUUCAGUAUUGGUUAUUGUGGUAUUUGACUGCACCAAGUAAAAAAGAGUCAUUACACUAUCAAAUAUGUAUAAUUGUUGGAUCAAUGUAUAGAACUUAUUAGAACUGAUCUAUUUAGCCGAUAAAAAUGUGUGUACAA